UAAUCUUGAGUUGUAAUCUGGUAGGAUAGGUUAGUGUCCUAGAGUCCACGUGAGAGGAGUUAGUACUAGUCCUAGUUAGGAGUCGGGGCAGCAGUCCAGUUUGGAGUAAGUCAUGUCCAGGUCCGGCUAGGAUUAGCACGUGGCCGUGUAGGUCUAGGUUUGCUGUAGGUCGGUUCAGGUCAUGUAUAUAUAUGUGACCAGGGCUACGUCAUGAUGUAACAACCGAGGCAAGAAAAGGAGAAAAUAAAAAGAGGAAUUUUUAGGGUACGAGACAUACCCUUGGCGAUCAAUUUUGUCUGCGCGUGUGUUCCUGUAAUUUUAUGUGAUCGAUCCUGAGGGCGGAUUUCCAACAGUUGGUAUAAGAGCUAGGACAAUUUGAAGCCACGCUUGCCCCGGGGUUGCGACCCGACUAGCGCCUCGGGGCGGGCGAUAUGGUCGCUGGGUGGUGCAGCGACGAGGAAGAGCGAGCAAUAUGGUCGCUGGGUGGUGUAGCGACGAGGAGCGGCGGGCAAUGUUAUCGCUGGAUGCUGCAGCGAUGAGGAGGAUCGGGAGAUUGUCGUUCGGCGGAGCGACAUGAAGACGGCAGGAUGUCGUCGGCAAGGCGGUGGAUGGAGAUCGUUGACAGGGGCGGUGGUGCAGUGAUGCGGUGCCAGAAAGUCGUCAAGAUCGUCAUCCGGGAGUUAGAGUCAAGGAGUCGUGCGGGUUAGUCGUCGUCGUCGUCAUGUCCAAGUGCUUGUCUGUGUGAGGAGGCGUUGAAGAUGAAGCGCACCCAGGUCGUCUAUGUGUCUCGACGAGAGGAUCAAGUUCAACUAUGUGGGGGCGGUAAACCAGUGAAGGUGAGUCUCUUCAAUGAGGCCAUGUCUCUACAUGAGGCUGGAGUGCAUGGUAUAGUGCACAGGGUGGUGUGAUCCACAAGGAGCCGGCAUGUAUCUCGCUAGGGUGGAUGGUGUAGUCCACCGGGUGGUGUGUUCCACAGGUUACUAGCGAGGCUGGGUAGUCCAAGACAUAUUUGAGGUGGUCCGUAAAUUCGCCAAGUUGAAAUUGGGAAGAGAUUGUUGCAGUGAAUGAAGCCUAUCAAUUUAACUUGUCGUGAUGCGAGCGGAUGAGUCGACAAGGGGUGAUUUACAACAAGCCAAGACCGGAGAAGCACAGAAGACAAGGUGUCAAGAUUAGGGAAAGAUUGUUAGCAAUAAUCUUAAGUUGUAAUCUGGUAGGAUAGGUUAGUGUCCUAGAGUCCACGUGAGAGGAGUUAGUACUAGUCCUAGUUAGGAGUCGGGGCAGCAGUCCAGUUUGGAGUAAGUCAUGUCCAGGUCCGGCUAGGAUUAGCACGUGGCCGUGUAGGUCUAGGUUUGCUGUAGGUCGGUUCAGGUCAUGUAUAUAUAUGUGACCAGGGCUACGUCAUGAUGUAACAACC
Molecule: long non-coding RNA, 1414 nt
Filed under: Triticum aestivum (bread wheat)
Lineage: Eukaryota; Viridiplantae; Streptophyta; Magnoliopsida; Poales; Poaceae
Description: long non-coding RNA (TAES_LNC017054)
Source: RNAcentral